ACAAAUAAAGCUUUAAGAUAAAGAAUGCUAAUUUAAUUAACAACAAAAUAAACGUAUGUUCACUACAUCAAAUGUUGAUAAUCUCUAGGGUAUUACAGUAACAAAAAUAUACGACUUAAUUUCACUCACUAUUCUUGAACUAUAAUUCUUACAACACUACCAUUCCUAAUUUUCAAUUUGUUAUUGUUUGCACUAAAAUAAUUAAUUUUAUAUAUUAAUUACUUUUAUGCCUAAAAUUAAUUAAAUUAGUUUUACAAAUUUUAUUUCAUUAGUUUAAUUAGUGAAAAGCCUGAGAUAAAUUAGUAUAUAAAUGUUGAAAAUGAAUAUCAAAAGGGAGUUAGCAGAGAGUAGUUUAUGAGAAGUUAAGGAAAGUUACCAAAUAGUGCCAUGUAACUCCCAUCAACUACAAAAUAUGAUCUUCCAGACUUUUUCAAUUACCUGCAAUGAGAACUAUAAAUGUGAGAUGAGCAACAACGUGAAAAUGCUCAAUCAACCUAACAAUAAACAACCAAUCAAACCAAUAAAUAAAUCAACAACAAUCCAAGCACUUUAGCAGUCCAAUUAAUCUAAAACUCUAAUAGUCGAUCUGUCUUUUACAUUUAUUGUCAAUUUCAAUUCCAAGCAAUCUUUACUUUCCAAGCUAUUGCAUUUUAAUUUUCAAGCCUUAUAAUUUCCUUCAGUAAUUAAUAUAAUCUGACUUUUCAUUUCAAUUAUCUUUCAUACUCACAUUUGUAGACCCCAAUUUUUUUUUUUAAUCUUUAUAGAUCCUACACAUCUGAGGUAGUGAAGAGCUCAAUGAUAAAAGUUUCAAACCGCUUCAAAGAUGCUAAAGGUACUGAAGAAAUGUUCAUGAGAUGUUCUACAUAUUAAAAAUAAAAAUUAAUUAGGUUUACAGAGGAAAAAAAAAAGAUAGGAAAAAUUAUUAUUUAAUCCCUGAAUUUUAACAAAACUAACUACUUGG
This 961-nucleotide unclassified non-coding RNA is filed under the name Hevea brasiliensis (rubber tree). The record is from RNAcentral. Lineage: Eukaryota; Viridiplantae; Streptophyta; Magnoliopsida; Malpighiales; Euphorbiaceae.